GACGAACGCUGGCGGCGUGCUUAACACAUGCAAGUCGAACGGAAAGGCCCUGCUUUUGUGGGGUGCUCGAGUGGCGAACGGGUGAGUAACACGUGAGUAACCUGCCCUUGACUUUGGGAUAACUUCAGGAAACUGGGGCUAAUACCGGAUAGGAGCUCCUGCUGCAUGGUGGGGGUUGGAAAGUUUCGGCGGUUGGGGAUGGACUCGCGGCUUAUCAGCUUGUUGGUGGGGUAGUGGCUUACCAAGGCUUUGACGGGUAGCCGGCCUGAGAGGGUGACCGGCCACAUUGGGACUGCGAUACGGCCCAGACUCCUACGGGAGGCAGCAGUGGGGAAUAUUGCCCAAUGGGCGGAAGCCUGAUGCAGCAACGCCGCGUGCGGGAUGACGGCCUUCGGGUUGUGAACCGCUUUCGCCUGUGACGAAGCGUGAGUGACGGUAAUGGGUAAAGAAGCACCGGCUAACUACGUG
RNAcentral lists this ribosomal RNA (468 nucleotides) under uncultured bacterium. Its description in RNAcentral is "partial 16S ribosomal RNA". It matches the Rfam family "Bacterial small subunit ribosomal RNA", at positions 28 to 507 of the family's 1533-position model. The record is from RNAcentral.